RNAcentral lists this ribosomal RNA (1268 nucleotides) under Triticum aestivum (bread wheat). RNAcentral describes it as "partial small subunit ribosomal RNA". Lineage: Eukaryota; Viridiplantae; Streptophyta; Magnoliopsida; Poales; Poaceae. The record is from RNAcentral.
CUCCGCCUUAUCCUUCACCACGCAGCUCUCCACCGGCAGUCCAGCACGCACCGCUCGACCAGCUCGCCGCCGUGCAACAACUUCGCGCGCCACCUCUGCUACGAGCCCCUCCACAACCGCGCACGGGGAAUCCAGCCGGGUGCCUGAAUCGUCUAACUUCCAAGGCCGCGCACGGGCGCGCCCUUGUCCCGGCAACGAGCCGCGUUGCAAGCUCACAUGCUGGUGUGCGUGAACCGGCGACGGGCCGUGCUGGAUCCAGCUAUCCGCCAUGCUGGAACUAGUCGAGGUUUUCGCUGCACGUCUCAGGCACCCGGUGGCACCGCGCGGCUGCAAGCCUCAACCAGGUUGCUGGAAGCGCUGAGCGUGGAAGCUGGAAGCGGCAACGUCAGAUGCUGGAACCGAUGAGUGGAGAUACUGCAGCGGUGAGCGUGGAAGCUGGAAGCGGCAACGUCAGAUGCUGGAACCGAUGAGUGGAGAUACUGCAGCGGCGAGCCGUGAGCGUGGAAGCUGGAAGCGGCAACGUCAGAUGUUGGAACCGAUGAGUGGAGAUACUGCAGCGGCGAGCGGCGAGCAAGAGAGGGGCACGAGAUGCUGCAUCCGGCGAGCAAUUUUGCUGGAACCGGCUACUCCAGGAGCUACAAGCCUACAACGGGGCAUCGGUGCGCAUCAAGAGUCCUGGGAACCAGCGCGGCUGGGACCGGCGCCCAAUUUUGCUGCAUCCAGCCAGAGAUUUUGCUGGAACCGGCAACGCCGGGAGCCACAACGGGGCGGCGGGCGCGUCAAGGAUGCUGGGACCAGCACCCUGUUUUGCUGCAUCCAGCCAGCGAUUUUGCUGGAACCAGAACGCAUCCUCACCGGCGUCAGAAGAAGAACGAAGAAGUUGGUGGUCGGGGCACCCACGCAACAAAAGCUACAACGGCGACCUAGAAAGCUUCAACCGGCUACCAGAAAGCUUCAACGGAAAAGACGGAGAAGUUCGUCGCCGGGCACCGCGCAUCUAAGCUGCAACCAGCGGCCUAGAAAGCUUCAACUGGCUAAAGGCGACAACGAGCGGCUACUGGUGCUGCGAUGACUGGUGGUGCGGGAGGGAGGGCGCGGCGACCAGCUAAUGGUGCUGCGACGAGCAGCGCCGUGCGGGAGGACGUGGGUACUGCCACGCCGCGCCGGGGGCACCCACGCCACCCCCUCCCUGACCUGCUCAUUACACGUCCCUUCUAUUCAUCUUUAUUUUUUUACUUCAACCUUUAUUUAUAUAUGUUCUUUCCAGC